AUAAUGGCUUUCUCAAGCUUUCCCAUGUUCCCACUUCUCGGCAGCUGGUUGACCUAUUGACAAAGGCCUUAUCUAGGACUGCUCUUUCUCCUCUUUUGUCCAAGUUGAUGGUGGUUUCCCCCGUUCAACUUGAGGGGGGGUAUUGAGAUAUAUGUAGGCGAUGAUGAUAAACCCCAACUUAGACCAUUAAGGGUCAAUAACGGAGUCAUAUCUGAGUCUAAUAGGCUACUUAGGCUACUUGUGUAAUUAAGCUAUCUUUGUAAUUAGUAUAUUUCUGUAAUUAGGUUAUUUGUGUAAUUAUGCUGUUUCUGUAAUAACUAGGCUAUAUUUGUAAAAGGGUUAUUUUGAUAUAAGGGGUCAGGGG
This 364-nucleotide long non-coding RNA is filed under the name Nicotiana benthamiana. RNAcentral describes it as "long non-coding RNA (NBEN_LNC024322)". The record is from RNAcentral. Lineage: Eukaryota; Viridiplantae; Streptophyta; Magnoliopsida; Solanales; Solanaceae.